AUGAUAUCUAAUAGUAGUUUUAUUCUUGCUUAAUUACUUAUUUUAAUUUGAUAUUAUAUGCAAAUUUUUGUAUUUUUGAAAUGCUUAAUGUAAUCAGAUUUAUUUUUGCAGUAAUAAAUAUUAAGUGAUAAAAGAGAUUUUGAUUUAGUUAAUUUUAUUGAUAUUGAUUAAAUAUGUGCCAGCAGUCGCGGUUAAACAUAAGAUAUAAAUAAGUAUUUUUAGUUAUAUAGUUUAUUUAAUUAACUUAAUUUAAUUUAAUAAUUUUUAGGUAAAAUUUAAAUUUUUAUUUAUUUUGGAGGAAGGUGAAUGAGGCUAUGAAAUCUAAAUUGGUUAAACUAGGAUUAGAUACCCUAUUAUUUUAGAUUUAAAGGUUUAACUUGAGUAGUAUUAGGUAUGAUCUUGAAACUUAAAGAAUUUGGCGGUAUUUUAGUCUAGUUAGAGGAAUUUGUCCCAUUAUCGAUAAUCCGCGUUGAACCUUACUCAUUAUAAUUUAAUAUGUAUACCGCCGUUUAUUUGAAGAUCUUUUUAGGGUUAAUUUUCUUGAAAUUGGAGUUGAUUUUAUUUCAGGUCAAGGUGCAGUUGAUAAUUGAGUGGUGAUGAAUUACAUUAUUUAUAAUAUAUACGAAUUGAGAUUUGCAAUAUUUUAUGAAGGAGGAUUUAAUAGUAAUUAAUAAUAAGAAUUAUUUUUGUGAUUUUAGCUCUAGAAUGUGUACACAUCGCCCGUCACUCUCGUUAUUAAGAUGAGAUAAGUCGUAACAAAGUAGGUGUACCGGAAGGUGUAGCUAGAUUGAU
Molecule: non-coding RNA, 792 nt
Filed under: Panesthia guizhouensis
Lineage: Eukaryota; Metazoa; Arthropoda; Insecta; Blattodea; Blaberidae
Source: RNAcentral